This is a non-coding RNA of Plutella xylostella (diamondback moth), 466 nucleotides long. The record is from RefSeq and is a predicted model, not a curated record. NCBI's taxonomy places the organism in Eukaryota, Metazoa, Arthropoda, Insecta, Lepidoptera, Plutellidae.
CGAGCAUUUCAGCAUUUUUUGGUAGCCCACGAUUGCGCUUUUCAUUGUAACUCUCCUCAGAAAAUAACCUCUCACUACAAACGCUACUUCCAGGUGAAGAAAGACAAGUUUUUGCAAAUUGCAAAAGAUUUCGGGUAUUGUUUUUUGUUUGCUGAUCACCACUUGUAAGGAUCGGCCAUCCGAUCUAGGCGAACUAUUAUCAAAUAAAAAUUCAACUCGUUUGCCACAGCAUUCUGCCUCCUAAUACAGUGAAACCUGGUUAAGUGAGACUUCAAGGGUCCUGCAAUAUUGUUUCACUUAUAGAGGUAUUCCACUUACCCAGUGUCUCAGAUAUACAGGUAUAAAUAAAUAUCUGUCUCAUUUACAGAGGGUUCCAUUAAUAGAGGUGAGAAUACAGGUUAUUUCAGUUAUACAGGUGCGAUCAUUAAAUAAAAUUUAUAUAAUAUAUAAUUUUUAAUUAAGUAAA